Molecule: ribosomal RNA, 408 nt
Filed under: uncultured bacterium
Lineage: Bacteria
Description: partial 16S ribosomal RNA
Rfam family: Bacterial small subunit ribosomal RNA
Source: RNAcentral
GACGAACGCUGGCGGCGUGCUUAACACAUGCAAGUCGAACGAAGUGGCGCACGGGUGAGUAACGCGUAAUCAACCUGCCCUUCAGAGGGGGACAACAGUUGGAAAUGACUGCUAAUACCGCAUACUGAAGGUGGGGAUUGCGUCUGAGUAGCUAGUUGGCGGGGUAACGGCCCACCAAUGCGAUGAUCAGUAGGCGGUCUGGGAGGGUGAACGGCCAAAAUGGGACUGAGACACGGCCCAGACUCCCACGGGAGGCAGCAGUGGGGAAAUAUCCGCAAUGGAGGAAAGGCUGACUGAGCAACGCCGCGUGGUAGAUGACGGCCUUCGGGUUGGAAAGCUCUGUUAAUCGGGACGCGGUACCGGAAUAGAAAGCCACGGCUAACUACGUGCCAGCAGCCGCGGUAAUUC